Molecule: long non-coding RNA, 150 nt
Organism: Neodiprion fabricii
Lineage: Eukaryota; Metazoa; Arthropoda; Insecta; Hymenoptera; Diprionidae
Exons: 3
Source: RefSeq, a predicted model, not a curated record
GUUUCAUUUUGUGUACGUUGGUGCCUUGCUCAGCAGAUGAAAACUUCACCGCGGCGCGAUUUCACCGACCAAUGAGAUUAUAUUAUUUGGCGCAUGCGCGUUAUAUGUAUAGCUUCAAGAGAUUGUCCCGGUAUAAAAUGUUCAUUAUAA